This 253-nucleotide ribosomal RNA is filed under the name uncultured bacterium. RNAcentral's name for it is "partial 16S ribosomal RNA". It matches the Rfam family "Bacterial small subunit ribosomal RNA", at positions 524 to 776 of the family's 1533-position model. The record is from RNAcentral.
UACGAGGGGGGCAAGCGUUGUUCGGAAUCACUGGGCGUAAAGGGCGCGUAGGCGGUGCGGUAAGUCACCUGUGAAAUCUCCUGGCUCAACUGGGAGCUUGCAAGCGAAACUGCCGUGCUGGAGUGUGGGAGAGGUGCGUGGAAUUCCUGGUGUAGCGGUGAAAUGCGUAGAGAUGUGGAGGAAUACCGAUGGCGAAGGCAGCCUCCUGGGAUAACACUGACGCUGAGGCACGAAAGCGUGGGGAGCAAACAGG